Molecule: long non-coding RNA, 1137 nt
Filed under: Equus caballus (horse)
Lineage: Eukaryota; Metazoa; Chordata; Mammalia; Perissodactyla; Equidae
Description: lncRNA (ENSECAG00000042201.2)
Source: RNAcentral
AUCGCUAGCGUCCAAUGCCAACAUCCAGAGAAAAACUAAAAAAGCAUGUUAUCUGGACAUUUAGCACCACAUUUAAGUCCUUGUGCGAUGUUGAUCAAAUUCUUUAUUCUCCCUCCACUUGUUUCUCUUUGUAGUGUGCUUUGGCAGAGGGGAGCAUUAGAAGGAAAAGUAUACAUGGAAUAUUAUUCAGCCAUAAAAAAGAAAAAAUCCCACCUUUUGCACAACACGGUUGGACCUUGAGGGCAUUAUGCUAAGUGAAAUAAGUCAGAGGAAGACAAAACUAGAUCUCAAAAAGGACCAGUGAUGACCUGAAUUCUAGCAAUAUGGUAGACUAAACAUCUAGAGAUACCCUCUCAGCUUAGAACACCUGUGGACUGAACACCAGUGAAAACAGCAUAAGUCAAAUUUGGAAAAUGCUAGGAAAGCAGGAUUUGUGGGAAAUUUAAAUUAACACUUAAAAUUAAAAAGAAAAGAAAAAUUGAAAACUAAUGUUAAAUGUCUAACUUAAGAAGUUAGAGAAAGAAUAUAGACACACAAUAGAAGAAGGAAAAAAGAGCUGAAACCAAUGAAAUAGGAAGCAAACAUACAAUAGAAGGGAUCAACAAACCAAAAAGUUAGUUACUCGUAAAGUCCAAUAAAAUUGGCAAACCGUUUUCAAAACUGAUUAUAGAGAAAGACAGGGACAGAAAGUGAAGGCCCCAAAACACAAUAUUAGGAAUAAAAGAGAAACAGGACCACAGAUGCGUCAAAGAUUAAAUAGAUAUUAUGACAACUUUAUACCAAUAAAUUGGCCUAAUUAUUAGAAAUUGUACUAGAAAAAGAGAAAUUAUUUUUUUAAAAGUCAAUUUAAAAAGAUCUUCUUGUAUUCAGCCAGCGCACAUUGCUGUAAUACAAUACAGGUCAUACAGGUUGGUAAAUAUUGAAACAUCUACACACUUACUUUUAAAAGUCUCUACCUUGAUUCCCAAGUACCACCUGGACCACAUUUGUCCCUCUCUCAGGACCCCAUAAACCUCUCUAUAAUCCAUCAACUGAAGGUUAUUUCUGGAUACAGUAGAGCUCCAGAUCCUAUUUCAGGUCUAUUAGUUGACAUUUAUCUUGACUAGUUCAGUGCUUAAUCCAAAUCACUAGUAAAAC